RNAcentral lists this ribosomal RNA (207 nucleotides) under uncultured bacterium. Its description in RNAcentral is "partial 16S ribosomal RNA". It matches the Rfam family "Bacterial small subunit ribosomal RNA", at positions 568 to 774 of the family's 1533-position model. The record is from RNAcentral.
CACGUAGGUGGUUCAUUAAGUCGGAUGUGAAAGCCCCGGGCUCAACCUGGGAACUGCACUCGAUACUGGUGAACUAGAGUAUGGUAGAGGCAAGUGGAAUUCCAGGUGUAGCGGUGAAAUGCGUAGAUAUCUGGAGGAACAUCAGUGGCGAAGGCGACUUGCUGGACCAAUACUGACACUGAGGUGCGAAAGCGUGGGGAGCAAACA